UACGUAUGGGGCGAGCGUUGUUCGGAAUUAUUGGGUGUAAAGGGCGUCUAGGCGGGAGAUUAAGUUAGAUGUGAAAGGCGUGGGCUUAACCCACGAAUUGCAUCUAAAACUGGUUUUCUUGAGUUCGGGAGAGGAGAGCGGAAUUCUUGGUGUAGCGGUGAAAUGCGUAGAUAUCAAGAAGAACACCAGUGGCGAAGGCGGCUCUCUGGCCUAGAACUGACGCUGAAGCGCGAAAGCGUGGGUAGCGAACGGGAUUAGAUACCCCCGUAGUCCCUGAGCGGG
RNAcentral lists this ribosomal RNA (282 nucleotides) under uncultured prokaryote. RNAcentral describes it as "partial 16S ribosomal RNA". It matches the Rfam family "Bacterial small subunit ribosomal RNA", at positions 524 to 803 of the family's 1533-position model. The record is from RNAcentral.